AACCGGAUUAGAUACCCUGGUAGUCCACGCUGUAAACGAUGUCGAUUUGGAGGUUGUGCCCUUGAGGCGUGGCUUCCGGAGCUAACGCGUUAAAUCGACCGCCUGGGGAGUACGGCCGCAAGGUUAAAACUCAAAUGAAUUGACGGGGGCCCGCACAAGCGGUGGAGCAUGUGGUUUAAUUCGAUGCAACGCGAAGAACCUUACCUACUCUUGACAUCCAGAGAACUUUCCAGAGAUGGAUUGGUGCCUUCGGGAACUCUGAGACAGGUGCUGCAUGGCUGUCGUCAGCUCGUGUUGUGAAAUGUUGGGUUAAGUCCCGCAACGAGCACAACCCUUAUCCUUUGUUGCCAGCGGUUCGGCCGGGAACUCAAAGGAGACUGCCAGUGAUAAACUGGAGGAAGGUGGGGAUGACGUCAAGUCAUCAUGGCCCUUACGAGUAGGGCUACACACGUGCUACAAUGGCAUAUACAAAGAGAAGCGACCUCGCGAGAGCAAGCGGACCUCAUAAAGUAUGUCGUAGUCCGGAUUGGAGUCUGCAACUCGACUCCAUGAAGUCGGAAUCGCUAGUAAUCGUAGAUCAGAAUGCUACGGUGAAUACGUUCCCGGGCCUUGUACACACCGCCCGUCACACCAUGGGAGUGGGUUGCAAAAGAAGUAGGUAGCUUAACCUUCGGGAGGGCGCUUACCACUUUGUGAUUCAUGACUGGGGU
Molecule: ribosomal RNA, 710 nt
Filed under: uncultured Serratia sp.
Lineage: Bacteria; Pseudomonadati; Pseudomonadota; Gammaproteobacteria; Enterobacterales; Yersiniaceae
Description: bacterial SSU rRNA
Rfam family: Bacterial small subunit ribosomal RNA
Source: RNAcentral